CAUUUCCAGGUCUUUUGCUGGAGGAAUUCUGUAUGCUACCCUGCAAUCAAAUAAGCUCUCAGAUGUUUGCACUGACUGCCAAAAUUAACAUCCAAUUGAGGCAUCCAUGUCAACCCACUGGAAUAGUGGAAAGCAGCUGCAAUGGAGAUGUCUGUCCUAUUGGUGUGACUGGAUGAUUGACAACCUCACCAUCUCUGACAUCACUUCCGAUGUUUGUCAACCUGGAUCCGCCCCUUCCUGCCUAACCUGUAUAUACCAGAAGCGCCGCCAUCGUGGGUAGUCUAAUCUCAGAAUUGCGUCUACAGAGACAUUCUUUUUUGCUGAAUAGCAUUUAUUAUUUUAUCUUUACAAUAUACAGAGUCACAGUGUCACCCCAAACUCUUAUCUUGUCUUUGUUCUCUUUAUAAAAGGAAGAGAUAGC
This is a long non-coding RNA of Polypterus senegalus (gray bichir), 421 nucleotides long. RefSeq lists it as uncharacterized. The record is from RefSeq and is a predicted model, not a curated record. Lineage: Eukaryota; Metazoa; Chordata; Cladistia; Polypteriformes; Polypteridae. The transcript is spliced from 3 exons.